UCUUCCAGCAGGCUUAUCUUUGAGACAAGCAUAUGACUACUGGCAGGAUCAACCAGGUAGCAUCUUUUUGCCGCCGACACCGUAUGAGCGAGGACAAUUACUAUCCUCCCGUCAACACAGGGCACGUCAGGCUUUCAUAAGGGACAAUUGAUUCGGGCAAAAAGGGACAAAGUCCCCGACCGAUCUUUGCUUCUACAUACAAAACUUCGAGCAACCCUUGGGCGUCCAAUGCCUGCUAGCUAAAUAAGAAAAGCAAGAGUAGACGUCCAUGGGUGCUAACUUGUCUACGUCGCACAAAACCUUUUAGCACGAGAUAGAGUAUGGAUCGUGGGACUAGAGAAUUCCGUCAAAAUAGGUAUGCUGCACAGGGGGCCAAGUCAGUCCAAGGUAAAAGAUUUAGCACUCAAACAGAAUUGAACAGGUGUGAACUAGCGAUUGUCACUGCCAGGGCAGGGAACCAACCAACCGGAACAUACCAAUCACCACUCACACGCCCAUGAG
Molecule: unclassified non-coding RNA, 501 nt
Filed under: Heracleum wenchuanense
Lineage: Eukaryota; Viridiplantae; Streptophyta; Magnoliopsida; Apiales; Apiaceae
Description: partial external transcribed spacer
Source: RNAcentral